Molecule: ribosomal RNA, 446 nt
Filed under: uncultured bacterium
Lineage: Bacteria
Description: partial 16S ribosomal RNA
Rfam family: Bacterial small subunit ribosomal RNA
Source: RNAcentral
CCUACGGGAGGCAGCAGUCGAGAAUCAUUCACAAUGGGGGAAACCCUGAUGGUGCGACGCCGCGUGGGGGAAUGAAGGUCUUCGGAUUGUAAACCCCUGUCAUGUGGGAGCAAAUUAAAAAGAUAGUACCACAAGAGGAAGAGACGGCUAACUCUGUGCCAGCAGCCGCGGUAAUACAGAGGUCUCAAGCGUUGUUCGGAAUCACUGGGCGUAAAGCGUGCGUAGGCUGUUUCGUAAGUCGUGUGUGAAAGGCGCGGGCUCAACCCGCGGACGGCACAUGAUACUGCGAGACUAGAGUAAUGGAGGGGGAACCGGAAUGCUCGGUGUAGCAGUGAAAUGCGGAGAUAGCGAGAGGAACACUCGUGGCGAAGGCGGGUUCCUGGACAUUAACUGACGCUGAGGCACGAAGGCCAGGGGAGCGAAAGGGAUUAGAUACCCCAGUAGUC